Long non-coding RNA from Homo sapiens (human), 1270 nucleotides. Ensembl annotates it as long intergenic non-protein coding RNA 690. NCBI's taxonomy places the organism in Eukaryota, Metazoa, Chordata, Mammalia, Primates, Hominidae. The record is from Ensembl.
CCCUUCCGCCUUCCGGAUGGAUGAAAGCAGAAGCAGUGGCUGGAGCUAGAGCAGCUAUUUAGGACUAUGAGAUGGAAGAAAUGUGGUGACAAUAGCAGAACAAAAAUAUAGAAAUCUUGGGUACUUGAUGACCACGGAGCCGCCAUACAAACUCUGGACUAUAAUUUCCAGAGACUGUUUAUGUGAGAGAGAAAUAUACUUCUCCUGUUAGGCUACUGUUAACUCUGUGUUUUCUGUCAGUUCUGAUAUAGGAGGCAUUGUCAUCCCAUUUUACAGACGAAGAGACGGAGUCUCAAGUUUCCAUAGCUGGUGUGCACUUUAGUUCCUCAAGGACAAUAAUGCCCCACCCUUGAGAUACGGAAACAUGCCACUAAAAGUUAGCCCUGGAGGGCCUUUAAGUCAGCUUUCAAAGAACAACAGAUCUGGUUUUGUGACUCUGGGAAAAUUACCAUCCAAGCCUCAGUUUCUUCUUCUCUAAAAUGGGAAGGAUAGUAAAAGUACCUGCGACAGAGUUGUUGGGAGGACCGAGCAAGAGGCUGCACAGUGCCUGGCCCUGACCAAAUGAACAAGUCUAUCUGAACUUUUUCUCCAGAGAAUGAAGAUACUGUCAUUACCUCUGCAAAGAAUGCAUCCUAGCACAGAUCAAAGAUCUUCCAAGUCCAGCCACACCAUUUUACAGUUCUGAACCUCGACUUAGGAAAGCAGUGGAUCUUUAUACAUUUGACACAUCCCUUCCCUCUAGGAUCUCUGUGGCUAUUGAAAAUGGACUGGAGAAGAUGAGUGGGAGUGAGAAGAGGAUAACAGAAUCAGAUAAAAACCUGUCAUGUUACUAAGAGCAGGAGAUGAGGCAGCCUGGACCAAGAUGGUGGCAGAGAGAAGAAAAUUGCUUGAGAGAAUUGAUUAAACUACUUGGUUAGCACAGAUAGAGCUGAAUCAAAAAUUAGGAUGGUAAGCUAAGUAAUUUUACACACAAAAAGGCAGAGUUGCAUUCAUAAUUAGUCUCUCCUUCAGACUGAAUAUUACAGACAAAAUAUAGCCAUUGGUGUUGCAAUCACUUCCUUUGGGUUUGUAUCCAAGGUUAAGAAUGUCAGCAUCCAAAGACCCAAAUUCUUAAUGUUUUUAGUUGAUAAAGUUUAUUCAAGGUAGACAGCCUGUGUUGAAUAACUUAGUCUUCCACAAAUUUCAAGAAAAAUCCAUUGUCCCUCUUCUCCGCCACAGACACACUUUAGUUGAACAUUAAGCAUAUUUAUUAAAGAAACAUUCUCCUUGU